Molecule: long non-coding RNA, 893 nt
Organism: Drosophila willistoni
Lineage: Eukaryota; Metazoa; Arthropoda; Insecta; Diptera; Drosophilidae
Exons: 3
Source: RefSeq, a predicted model, not a curated record
AAUACCACAGAAAAGCAAGUUGUUCCACGAAAUUGGUAAUAAGUCACUACUAGUAACCACGAAGCAUUGAAAUGGAUUUAGACGGAAAUGCGCUCAUGACUUUCCUAUUUUUUUGCACCCUUUUUUACAACGUUAACACACAACCGAGAAGUAAUGUUUACAAGGAAUAUAAUUGCUAUAUGCAUAAGAUUUCUGAAGGCUGCCUGCAUGCGGACUGCUCAGGUAAUGCAGGCUCUAUCGAUUGGAUUGGUCUGGGGAAGAUACACAAUUUGUGUAGUUUAAAUAUAUCAUACAAUAGGCUUAGGUCCUUACCACCCGAGCUCUUUGAUCUACCUCUGUUCAUAGAUCUUAAAUAUAUUGAUGCAUCCCACAACUAUAUUGAACACAUACACCCCGCAAUUAGCGACCGGUUUGUACAAUUAAACGUAUCCCACAAUCACAUAAGCGAUUUGCCCAAAGUGACGAAAAAUUUCACCACAUUAAAGCAUCUUGAUGUUAGUUAUAACAAUUUGACAUCCAUUGGCAUGUUGAAUACUGACUUGGCCCUAAAUAUCACAUCGAAGGGGAAUCCAAUGAUAUGCGACAGUCCCGAAUUAAUUUUGCGCAUAUGGGAGCGAAUGGUUAACGAGCAACUAGACCUGGUAAUGUGCAUGGAAAAUGGAACCACCGAAAUGAAAUUAAUCACAAAUGUAGCAUCUUAUCAAAAACCAAUCAAUGAUAAGACUAAUGAAUCAAAAGGUUCUUCGUUUUGGAUUUGGAUCCUGGCACCGAUACUACUAAUAGCACUUGGAAUUGGAAUUGGGUAUAUGUUAUACACAUGUUACAUUCAUAUAUACCUUAAACAUGUUAAUCAAUCACAUCAACUUGAUACAUUGAUACAAUAGAUACAUAUA